GACGAACGCUGGCGGCGUGCUUAACACAUGCAAGUCGAACGGAAAGGCCCUGCUUUUGUGGGGUGCUCGAGUGGCGAACGGGUGAGUAACACGUGAGUAACCUGCCCUUGACUUUGGGAUAACUUCAGGAAACUGGGGCUAAUACCGGAUAGGAGCUCCUGCUGCAUGGUGGGGGUUGGAAAGUUUCGGCGGUUGGGGAUGGACUCGCGGCUUAUCAGCUUGUUGGUGGGGUAGUGGCUUACCAAGGCUUUGACGGGUAGCCGGCCUGAGAGGGUGACCGGCCACAUUGGGACUGAGAUACGGCCCAGACUCCUACGGGAGGCAGCUGUGGGGAAUAUUGCACAAUGGGCGGAAGCCUGAUGCAGCAACGCCGCGUGCGGGAUGACGGCCUUCGGGUUGUAAACCGCUUUCGCCUGUGACGAAGCGUGAGUGACGGUAAUGGGUAAAGAAGCACCGGCUAACUACGUGCCAGCAGCCGCGGUGAUACGUAGGGUGCGAGCGUUGUCCGGAUUUAUUGGGCGUAAAGGGCUCGUAGGUGGUUGAUCGCGUCGGAAGUGUAAUCUUGGGGCUUAACCCUGAGCGUGCUUUCGAUACGGGUUGACUUGAGGAAGGUAGGGGAGAAUGGAAUUCCUGGUGGAGCGGUGGAAUGCGCAGAUAUCAGGAGGAACACCAGUGGCGAAGGCGGUUCUCUGGGCCUUUCCUGACGCUGAGGAGCGAAAGCGUGGGGAGCGAACAGGCUUAGAUACCCUGGUAGUCCACGCUGUAAACGGUGGGUACUAGGUGUGGGGUCCAUUCCACGGGUUCCGUGCCGUAGCUAACGCUUUAAGUACCCCGCCUGGGGAGUACGGCCGCAAGGCUAAAACUCAAAGGAAUUGACGGGGCCCCGCACAAGCGGCGGAGCAUGCGGAUUAAUUCGAUGCAACGCGUAGAACCUUACCUGGGUUUGACAUGGAUCGGGAGCGCUCAGAGAUGGGUGUGCCUCUUUUGGGGUCGGUUCACAGGUGGUGCAUGGCUGUCGUCAGCUCGUGUCGUGAGAUGUUGGGUUAAGUCCCGCAACGAGCGCAACCCUUGUUCACUGUUGCCAGCACGUUAUGGUGGGGACUCAGUGGAGACCGCCGGGGUCAACUCGGAGGAAGGUGGGGAUGACGUCAAGUCAUCAUGCCCCUUAUGUCCAGGGCUUCACGCAUGCUACAAUGGCUGGUACAGAGAGUGGCGAGCCUGUGAGGGUGAGCGAAUCUCGGAAAGCCGGUCUCAGUUCGGAUUGGGGUCUGCAACUCGACCUCAUGAAGUCGGAGUCGCUAGUAAUCGCAGAUCAGCAACGCUGCGGUGAAUACGUUCCCGGG
Molecule: ribosomal RNA, 1343 nt
Filed under: uncultured bacterium
Lineage: Bacteria
Description: 16S ribosomal RNA
Rfam family: Bacterial small subunit ribosomal RNA
Source: RNAcentral